RNAcentral lists this ribosomal RNA (468 nucleotides) under uncultured bacterium. RNAcentral's name for it is "partial 16S ribosomal RNA". It matches the Rfam family "Bacterial small subunit ribosomal RNA", at positions 28 to 507 of the family's 1533-position model. The record is from RNAcentral.
GACGAACGCUGGCGGCGUGCCUAACACAUGCAAGUCGAACGGACAGGCCCUGCUUUUGUUGGGGGCUCGAUUGGCGAACGGGUGAGUAACACGUGUGUAACCCGCCCUUGACUUUGGGAUAACUUCAGGAAACUGGGGCUAAUACCGGAUAGGAUCUUCUGAUGCAUUGUGUGGGUUGGAAAGUUUCGGUUGUUGGGGAUGGUCUCGCGGCUUAUCAGCUUGCUGGUCGGCUAGUCGCGUACCAAGGCUUUGACGGGUAGCCGGCCUUAGAAGGUGACCGGCCACAUUGUGACUGAGAUACGGCCCAGACUGCUACCAGCGGCAGUGGUGGGCAUCCUGGCACAAUGCGCGCGAGCCGGAUCCAGAAACGACGCGUUCGGGAUACCGGCCUUAGGGUUAAAAACCGCUUUCGCCUGUGCCGAGCCGUGAGUGACGGUACUUUGUAAAGAAGCACCGGCUAACUACGUG